CGAUUUCAGGUUAUGGGAAUUGAUAAAAAAAAUAAAUAAAUAAAUUUGUGUCGGUUUAAUGGAAAUUGGAAAGAAAGUAUAUAUUUUUCUUGUUAAUUUUGAGUUGUCUAAUUUAGUUAACACAUCUUGAUACCAGCUGAGCUGCUACUGGUAUACAAGUCCUCAUUACUUAUCCAGAAGUUGUCAAGUCUUUAGUGUCUGAUUCGUGACUGAAAUUAUUGAAGCUUAAUGAAAUGUUUAACAUUCAACAGUGAUUUUUGGGAGUUUAAAAAGUCAGACUACAAUGAUUUGAUCAACUUUGUUUGGAUAUUUAUGCAUAAAACAUAGCACCAAGCAGUGAAGACUAUGAUCAAUUGUCUGUAUGUAAGUCUUUCAAAAUCUUUUGCAGCUUUUCUUUGUUACAGGUGAAUAGCUUCUUGAGCAUAUAUACUUCUUUGAGGUUAGAAAUUGAUCCCUUGAACCAUAUUAUGAUCUUUUUUUCUUCAAUAAAACACGUAUCUAUUCUCCUCAUUCGAAGCUGUUUCCACAUCAUGAAAUGUUGCUUCUGCUGCAACCUAGUUUUAAACAAGGACAGGGCAUCUCCCUUUUCUUAUGUUUAGGAAUUAGGAACCCUAAACUAACUAGCUAAAAUGGUAACUACAGCCUACUACAAAGCAAAUUAAAGAUUGAACCAAGGACAAGGGCAUAUCCCUGUUUUAUGUUUAGUUGGCAUUCUCUAUAAUCUUCUCUUGUACAAGUAUAAUUAUCACUUGCGUAAAUAUAAAACACUCUAUAGAAACCCUAAUAUGUACAAGAAGAUUAUUGGGAUUGCCAACAAUCAACCAAUUUUAUACGUAUUUCAAUUAGUUUUAACUAUAGUUUUUAGGAAAGUUAUUCUCGACAUACCUUGUUUUGGAUACACAUUUCAUACCAACUAAGCGGUACGAAAAAAACCCAUCCUUCCACAUAUCAUACCGAAACGAGAUCUAGGUUACACUAGUUUGGACCUUGGAAAUAGCAGAGGCAAAAGAAAAGAAAAGAAAAUGAAAGAGAAGAAUGAAAAGAACUUUGCAAUCAGUUCAUUAAACUUGAUUUAUGUAUUAUACUUGGUAUCAAGAUUUGUAAGAAUAGUAUAGUUCUAGGUUUUGUCUUCUUCUUCUUUCCCUCCCUUACUCUCAUUAUUUCCAGUAUGCAAACAGAGAGGGAUAUAUUCUUUCGUAUUCAAAUCAUAUUUUAUGUUGCAGUAACAAGCUCCAUGUUCUUAUGUAGGUGAAGGAUGUCAUGGAAGUCGGUGCAAAUAUUAGGACAGGACUGGGGGGUCGUCCCAGAGCACGAGAUGAAUAGAUUUAUUACAGGAUCAUUGUAAAAUUGUAGACUUCAGAGUAGUUUGUUAGUAUUUGUUUUUUCAGUUUCUCCUAAGAGAGAGCUUAUCCUUCUCUUCGUCUUCUACAUUUGGGGACGCGAGAAACUUCAACUUUUGACUAUCAGAAAGUUGCAAGUAAAGAAAAAUGUUGGUAGGUUCGGUUCUGUAGUUCUAAAAAAGUAUAAGUAGAUAAUAAAUUGAUUACUGUUUCUUUACAAUGCUAUGAACUUUAUAUUGGCUUUACCCUACCCUACCCUACAUCUGAUUUUUCACAAUGAUAAUUAUAUAAGUAGAAUGACAAGUAACAAAGUAUGUGUGAUUUAUUUGCUAUACACAAAAGUGAGAAGACC
This 1692-nucleotide long non-coding RNA is filed under the name Panax ginseng (ginseng). RNAcentral's name for it is "long non-coding RNA (PGIN_LNC018650)". Lineage: Eukaryota; Viridiplantae; Streptophyta; Magnoliopsida; Apiales; Araliaceae. The record is from RNAcentral.